UUAUGUUGAUACACCAGGAUGUAGCUACCUUCGAGCAGCAACCAAGCUGCACAUUGUCCCUAGAAACAUCCCUUUCAAAGCAGAAUGUAUGCAGAGAAAAGGCGUGCUGAGGCUGUUAGAAUUAGGGGGAAAUAUCGAGAGAGGAUUCCUGUAAGCGUUUACUCUAACUGGUAGUCAUAUACUGGUUCUUCCCCCUCAUGCAACAACUAUGAGAGGUGGGUCCACAGUUAUAGACACCCAUUACUCUGUUUUGAAAUUUGCACAAUACACUGGAGCUCAUCCAAUUGCAGGGCGGCACACACCAGGAACCUUCAGGUCUUAUUUAUGAAUACAGGAUGCAUUUUGAAAAGGAUAAAGCAUUAGCUCGAUGAUUCCAGCCUGUGUUGAUAAACGAGCCUAGCCAGUUGGAGAAACACCGGAGAGCUGAUCAGGAGCUGAAGAAGCAUGUAUUGAAGUUGGUAUUCUGUCUUCAAGAAGCUCGGUCCCAAACACGGAAGCUUCAAAGGAUCCAACUAAGCAUGCAUGUUUGGAUUGGGA
Magnolia sinica is the source of this 537-nucleotide long non-coding RNA. RefSeq lists it as uncharacterized. The record is from RefSeq and is a predicted model, not a curated record. The transcript is spliced from 3 exons. NCBI's taxonomy places the organism in Eukaryota, Viridiplantae, Streptophyta, Magnoliopsida, Magnoliales, Magnoliaceae.